UGUAUGUAAGGCUAGAUGGAAACCAAGGCUUCUGCACCUCACUAAGUACUUAGUUGAAGGUGAAGGGGUCAGCAUUUGGGCAGCCACCAUAAAACAACUGUUUAAGAGGUUUGGACUGAAGUAGGUGGCAUGCACAGUUGGUAACGAAGCAGGAUCGAGCUCAAGCCCUGGCUGCAUUUGGAAUUUGGAUUUUGGAAUCAAAUUGAGGUCAGAGUUGUAGACAAAGAAACUGGUCUUGAAACAUAACACCAAGUUCACCUGAGCAGGGCUAGGUAAGAUGGAAAGGAAGCUUCCUUGUCCUGGGGCUUUGAGUCGGAGUCAGACAUGUUUCCCGUUCAUCAUCUUUCGAUAAUGUGGAAGUUAAGACAACUUUCUGAUCUGGUCCCUAGUCAAACAGAAGAGAGGUGGUCUGAGACACUGAGAUGACGGCUCAGUCAGCACAGUGCUUGCCACAGAAGCGGAAGGACCCACAUUCAGUCUCCAGGACCAAGACACCAAGAAAAACUGUCCAGAAACACUCAAAGAUGGAACACUGCAAAACAUAAAUGCUCAGCCUUUCUAACAGCUUAUUGCUUAACCUUAGAGGGCUGGACUGCAAGCUUAUGUCACCACAGCUGUGGUGAAUCAGCACUCAUUUGGUGUUUUAAUAUCUCCAAUAAUUUCACUUCAUUAUCUCUCUCUCUUAAAUUGGUUACUCUCUCAUAAAUAUACAUACAAGUAUA
Long non-coding RNA from Peromyscus eremicus (cactus mouse), 722 nucleotides. RefSeq lists it as uncharacterized. The transcript has 2 exons. NCBI's taxonomy places the organism in Eukaryota, Metazoa, Chordata, Mammalia, Rodentia, Cricetidae. The record is from RefSeq and is a predicted model, not a curated record.